CCUACGGGCGGCAGCAGUGGGGGAUAUUGCACAAUGGGGGAAACCCUGAUGCAGCGACGCCGCGUGGGUGAAGAAGUAUUUCGGUAUGUAAAGCCCUAUCAGCAGGGAAGAAAGAAGACGGUACCUGACUAAGAAGCCCCGGCUAACUACGUGCCAGCAGCCGCGGUAAUACGUAGGGGGCGAGCGUUAUCCGGAUUCACUGGGUGUAAAGGGAGCGUAGACGGCCGUGCAAGCCAGGAGUGAAAGCCCGGGGCCCAACCCCGGGACUGCUCUUGGAACUGUGCGGCUGGAGUGCGGGAGGGGCAGGCGGAAUUCCUGGUGUAGCGGUGAAAUGCGUAGAUAUCAGGAGGAACACCGGCGGCGAAGGCGGCCUGCUGGACCGCGACUGACGUUGAGGCUCGAAAGCGUGGGGAGCGAACAGGAUUAGAUACCCGGGUAGUC
This 441-nucleotide ribosomal RNA is filed under the name uncultured bacterium. RNAcentral's name for it is "partial 16S ribosomal RNA". It matches the Rfam family "Bacterial small subunit ribosomal RNA", at positions 338 to 795 of the family's 1533-position model. The record is from RNAcentral.